RNAcentral lists this microRNA precursor (65 nucleotides) under Harpegnathos saltator (Jerdon's jumping ant). RNAcentral describes it as "mir-14 microRNA precursor family". It matches the Rfam family "mir-14 microRNA precursor family". Lineage: Eukaryota; Metazoa; Arthropoda; Insecta; Hymenoptera; Formicidae. The record is from Rfam by way of RNAcentral.
AGUGGGGGUGAGAAACUGGCUUGGCUAUGACGCAAAGCACAGUCAGUCUUUUUCUCUCUCCUAUC